This 206-nucleotide ribosomal RNA is filed under the name uncultured bacterium. RNAcentral describes it as "partial 16S ribosomal RNA". It matches the Rfam family "Bacterial small subunit ribosomal RNA", at positions 568 to 773 of the family's 1533-position model. The record is from RNAcentral.
CGCGUAGGCGGUAGUGCACGUCCGGGGUGAAAGCUUUCGGCUUAACCGGAAAAGGGCCUUGGAUACGGCACUGCUGGAGGGAGGUAGGGGCAGGUGGAACUUCCGGUGGAGCGGUGAAAUGCGUUGAUAUCGGAAGGAACGCCGGUGGCGAAAGCGACCUGCUGGACCUCUUCUGACGCUGAGGCGCGAAAGCCAGGGGAGCAAAC